Non-coding RNA from Nitrococcus mobilis Nb-231, 170 nucleotides. Lineage: Bacteria; Pseudomonadati; Pseudomonadota; Gammaproteobacteria; Chromatiales; Ectothiorhodospiraceae. The record is from Rfam.
UCUGCCGCGAGGCGGGAUCUGAAGGCAGCUGUAGGCAAACUUCCCGGCCCGACGAGCAGGAACUGCAUACGAGGAAGGCACGCCUGGGUGAGGGGCGCCAAAAGAGCUGAAACCCGAUACUACCCGGAAGCCGUGAGUGCAAAUGCGGCGGGGGCACCGAGGUUCACGAU